Molecule: non-coding RNA, 45 nt
Organism: Necator americanus (New World hookworm)
Lineage: Eukaryota; Metazoa; Nematoda; Chromadorea; Rhabditida; Ancylostomatidae
Source: Rfam
CCAACGGCUCUUUUUAGUGCCACCAACUUCUGAAUACAGAUAGAA